AAGCGCUGGAGCCGGCGCCGCUUCCUCCCUUCCGCCUCCGCCGCGUACCGGGUCCCCGCAGCCGCCGCUGGGUGUCCAAAAAUCAACAUGUCUAGCAAGAAGGCAAAGACAAAGACCACCAAGAAGCGCCCUCAGCGCGCCACUUCCAAUGUAUUUGCGAUGUUUGAUCAGUCGCAGAUCCAGGAAUUCAAGGAGGCCUUCAACAUGAUCGACCAGAACAGGGACGGCUUCAUUGACAAAGAGGACUUGCACGACAUGCUCGCCUCCCUUGGAAAGAAUCCAACAGAUGAAUACCUGGAUGCCAUGAUGAACGAGGCUCCGGGCCCCAUCAACUUCACGAUGUUUCUCACCAUGUUUGGUGAGAAGUUAAAUGGCACCGACCCGGAGGAUGUAAUCAGGAAUGCUUUUGCUUGCUUUGAUGAGGAAGCAACAGGGUUCAUCCAAGAAGACUACCUGCGGGAGCUGCUGACCACCAUGGGAGACAGGUUCACGGAUGAGGAGGUGGAUGAGCUUUACAGAGAGGCCGGAUGAGCUUUACAGAGAGGCCCCCAUCGACAAGAAGGGCAAUUUCAACUACAUCGAAUUCACGCGCAUCCUGAAACAUGGAGCAAAAGACAAGGAUGACUGAGCAAAUCCCUGGAUACCUGCAGAUAGCACCUUUAGUUUUUUGGGUUUUUUUCUUCCCACUAAUUUUAUUUCUCAGGAUCUAUUUUUAUUUUUUUUUCCUUUUUUUCUUGUUGGGACCUUUUGCAUACAUUUUUAGUGCUGCACCUUCUUCCUCUGUGGAUCUUCCUCUGUGCCUCUCAGACACACCUGCACCUUUGUAAUAAGACUGGGAAGUGGCAAGGAGAGAGAGGACAGCUUGUAGUGAUAGAGGUUGAGGGGCAAAGAUCAGAGUGUGGAGGCCUGGGUAAAAAUGUCAGUGCUACUCAUCCUAGCUAGGUUAAUUUUACAUUUUUAAUGAUAAUUUUUCAAAUAAAUCACUGUCUACUAAGUGCAUAAUUAAAAUAUUCAUGCUGGAAGUAUAAUGUUUCUCUAAUGAUAUCUGUAAAUAUUUUUGCAACUGUAUGCAGUCAUGUUGUUACCUAUUUUUGCCUUAAAAAUGAUGCAUAAGUCACUUAAGCAUACUGAUGUUUGUACUUCAGCAGCUAUUUUACCUGCUACUGUGAGCAUACACAUGAAGAAGAAAUUCCUAUCCUUCAAAUUUUAGUGUAUUGUAAAUGAAUAAUUUCUGUCCAAGACUUGCACAUUAAACAUUUUAAAUCUUC
This is a non-coding RNA of Cyanistes caeruleus (blue tit), 1268 nucleotides long. The record is from RefSeq and is a predicted model, not a curated record. Lineage: Eukaryota; Metazoa; Chordata; Aves; Passeriformes; Paridae.